UCAUUAUUAUUGCAGAAAGAAGAAGAAUUUUGACACAGAAGAAUUAUGAGCGUUGGACCGACCAAGGUUAUUUUUUUCGAGCGUUGGAAUAUGUAUUUCUCAUUUUUACCAAUUCUCUUUCAGACUCGAAUAUUGAGAAUGUCGAUAUUUUAAUUUCUUCCUAUUUUUCCAAUUAAUAUAAUUUUUCUAUUAUAUAUCUCUCAUUUUUAUCAAUUCUUGUUUGGUUUCGAAUAUCGAGAGUAUCGAUAUUUCGAACCCGAUCACUGCUUGUAAGAGUAUCACUAGUGCCCAAUUCAAUUUCGAACAGUGAUGCCAUUUAUAGCGUAAAUGUCGUGCAAAAUCAUAACAUUUUUUAUAGUUUUUAUUACAAAAAAAUAUAAAACUAGGUAACGCACCAUAUAUCUUCCUAAAUUGGAAUUAAAAACACGAAUUUUAAGACAUUUCCAAAAUUGGUCCAUUUUUCUCAGAAAACCCACUCUGCUGAACAUUUACCCAGAGUAAGAAGCAGAAAAUACUCUUAAAUGUGUACGUUAAUAACUUGUUCGGAGUUUGCACCUUACUAAAUUUUGUGAAGAUAUCUUGUCAGUUAAAAAAGUUGUCCAUACCAGAAUUUGAUUUUGAACGGAGCUGUAGGACUAAACUUUCGGUCUGAAAAAAUGGAUAAUGAUACUGUUACAAAAGUAGUAUUAAGAUGUAUUUGUAUUGCUAUAUGCAUAUAUAUGGAAUAGCAUUUGUCUUGUUGUAGACAUCUGGCGCCGCAGCCGUCUGCUUGUCUACUUAAACAAUUGCUAAGUCUGGCGCCACGGCUGUCUGCAUUUGGCGCCGUAUAGCAUUAUGUUCUUGUAAUUUCCAGUCGCAAUAUUCUAGAAGGACACGUCGGCAUCAGCGAGAAGUGCGUGGCUAUAUAAGCCGUGGCAGCGCCAACGUAAUCAACCAGUGCUAAGAGUAAACUGAUAUAGUGUAGACGAGUUGUAAAAUAAAUAGAUUUUGUUGAAGUGAAUUAAACGGCUUUUAUUUUUAUUUGUCAAUCCAGAGAUACGAACCUAGUAAAGUAAAACUAGCAAGGAGUAAAUUCGUAACAGUAUUAAGAAAAGAAAAAAGCAAGCAAAGGACGUCUUCGUCGCUGCUUUUUUGCUAAUUUUACAAACUUAUGAAAAUGAAAGAAAUGCAAACAGGAGAAGUUUGGCACACUUAUGGAAUAGUGAGGAUCCAUUUUUAUUGGAGGAAGCAACAUUUAGAAAAUAUUUUCGUUUUCCGAAAUUGUUGUAUUGGGACUUUAUGCAGGAAUUGAAACCUCGCGAUAAUCGUUUCCAAAAGUCUGCUACUCCUUUUGAGAUUCGGUUCGUUUCAGUGCUAUAUUUUCUUUUCAAGUGGCUCAUACCAAUACUGCAUUGGAAAUAGCCAUUUAUCUGCCAUGAGUCAACCUAGCAUAUCUCGAAGUACAAGGCAUAUAUGCAAACUUGUGUUGGAGCACAAAAAUGUGGAUACAAGCUUCCCAAAUGCAACAAAGCACUAAAACAAAAUUAAAAUGGGUUUCCAUAAUAAGUUUGGAAUAAAAGGAGUGAUUGGUGCAAUAAUUGGACCGUCUUUGUCGUCUAACGUUAUUCCACAUUGUUUAAAUGAGUUAAGCAUCUACCCACUCUACCCGGGAAAACUGGCGCACCCUAAUGAUACAGCUUGAUUUACCACAGUUGAUACGCAACCAAACUCACCACACCUGUACUUCAACCCAACCAACAAAAGGAAAGGACAACGGAAAAACUAACACUUUUUCGACAGCUCAAUUCGCACAUCAUAAUUCGUAUACAUAUUUGCUAUCAACGUUCGUCAGCUACCUUCGUUCCUUUUAAUAAAAGUUUUUUUUUCGAUCAUACGCGGCGCUACGUAAAUCCCUCCUGCGAUCCUUCAUCGGUCCAGUGUGCUGCUUGCAUCCACCCCGCUCCGGGCACCUAUGUACAUACAUUCGUCGUCCACAUACAUCCAAUUUAUAAUUUUUAUAAGAAUUUAAUAACAAUAAUAAUCAUUGUGAACACAUUAGUUAUAUUGAAUGCUUGUAAAUUUUAACCUGUGUCCAUUUUUUAUUACAUAAUUGUUAAAGUGAUUAACACCCUUGUGUGCAAGUUUGGGCAGCAAAAUAAGCAUGGUCCUUCGAGCCUUACAGAAAGGCACUAUUGGAUUUUAAAGUAAAAAUCUAAAAAAGAAAAAAUAAAACAGAACAAAAGUGUGGUGACGAAAACAGUGUAAAUAAAAACAAACCAAAAAAAAAACAUGCAUACUCACAUACGUAUGUAUAUACAUAUGACGGAGUGCGAAUAAAAGUGAAAUUUAAAAACUUAAAGUGCCGUGGAGCAAACAAAAGUACAAUAAGUGCAGUGACACAAAACAAAAAUACUAUAUUUACAUAAAUACAUACAUACAUAUAUAAAAAACAAAAAAAAAACAACCAAAUCAAAAGACCGCAGCACAACAAAAAGGAAAUUAAGCACGUUUCAACAAACAAAAACAAACGUCUCGCGAAACUUUCAAACUAAAAAUAAAAAACAUAAAUCGGGCGGGAAAAGCUAAAUCACCAAUAAAACGAAACGAACGGGAGCGAACAUUAAAACAAAUAUACUAAUAGUACAUACAUACAACAAAACAACAGCACGAGGAGGUAGCCAGCUGGAGCACAGGAAUUAGAACAAGGCGAACAGACAAAUCAGCUGGAAACGGUUCGGAGAGGAGCACAUACAUAAAAACAUACAUAUAUACAACAUGUGCCAAGUGAGCGUAUCAAGUCCUUUAAUAUAUGGUAUAUGUAUACACAUAAACAUAAAUUCAAAUAUCUAACUAUUCGAAGCCUACUUACUAGCUUAACUUGGAUGGCAUACAACCAUACGAAUUCAAGCAUUUCUUUUCGUAAAAUUUCCAGCAGUACCCUUAUGUUUUAUAAAGCAUUAAGCACGACUUCAUACAACAAGUAAGAAAAGGCAAAAGUAGUCGAAAGUAUAAAAUAAAAGACAAAAACGGAAAAUAAAUAUAUUAUAUCUGCAUAUAUACAUAUGUAUGUACAGCAAAACAUAUUUUCUUUUUUUUUUCAAUUCCGUUUUAAAUCUCUCUCUCACUUCUUCAAAAAAAAUAUGAUAACAUUUAUAUACAAAUAUACGUUAAAGAAUCUGCCUGUGACACUAAACAAAAUCUCAUAUAUUACAUAUUAACACAUUAGUACACACAAAUAUUUAAAGUCCACAUUUACAAUUAUCGGCAAUACCUCUUGUUCUUUGGCAAACAAAAACAAGCAGGAUUGUGUACACACAAACAAUUUGUGCAUAGCGCACUGAUCUCUUCAACGAGCUCUCAACUGCACAAAACAUAAGCACAGUUGUCCAAGUGUUAGGGUGUACCUAAAUACAAAUCAUUCGGACAUCAAAUAUUUUAAUUAAUAAAAAGUACGUUU
Long non-coding RNA from Bactrocera dorsalis (oriental fruit fly), 3436 nucleotides. RefSeq lists it as uncharacterized. The record is from RefSeq and is a predicted model, not a curated record. Lineage: Eukaryota; Metazoa; Arthropoda; Insecta; Diptera; Tephritidae. The transcript has 4 exons.